UACGGAGGGUGCAAACGUUGUUCGGAAUCAUUGGGCGUAAAGCGCGCGUAGGCGGUCAGGUAAGUCCGGUGUGAAAGUCAUAGGCUCAACCUAUGAAUGCCGCUGGAAACUGCCUGACUUGAGUCCGGAAGGGGCGAGUGGAAUUCCUGGUGUAGCGGUGAAAUGCGUAGAUAUCUGGAGGAACACCGGUGGCGAAGGCGGCAUCCUGGACCAAUUCUGACGCUGAGUGAGCGAAAGCCAGGGGAGCAAACGGG
Molecule: ribosomal RNA, 254 nt
Filed under: uncultured bacterium
Lineage: Bacteria
Description: partial 16S ribosomal RNA
Rfam family: Bacterial small subunit ribosomal RNA
Source: RNAcentral